Molecule: ribosomal RNA, 498 nt
Filed under: uncultured bacterium
Lineage: Bacteria
Description: partial 16S ribosomal RNA
Rfam family: Bacterial small subunit ribosomal RNA
Source: RNAcentral
GACGAACGCUGGCGGCGUGCCUAAUACAUGCAAGUCGAGCGAAGUUUUUCUGGUGCUUGCACCGGAAAAACUUAGCGGCGAACGGGUGAGUAACACGUAAAGAACCUGCCUUAUAGACUGGGACAACUAUUGGAAACGAUAGCUAAUACCGGAUAACAGCAUUAACUGCAUGGUUGAUGUUUGAAAGUUGGUUUUGCUAACACUAUGAGAUGGCUUUGCGGUGCAUUAGCUAGUUGGUGGGGUAAAGGCCUACCAAGGCGACGAUGCAUAGCCGACCUGAGAGGGGGAUCGGCCACCUCGGGACUGAGACACGGCCCAGCCCCCCACGGGGGGCAGCAGUAGGGAAUCUCCCGCAAUGGGGGAAAGCCUGACGGAGCAACGCCGGGUGAGUGAAGAAGGAUUUCGGUUUGUAAAGCUUUUUUGUUAGGGAAGAAUGAUUUGGUAGUAACUAUACACAGUAGAGACGGUACCUACCCAGAAAGCCACGGCUAACUACGU